Molecule: long non-coding RNA, 1451 nt
Organism: Cottoperca gobio
Lineage: Eukaryota; Metazoa; Chordata; Actinopteri; Perciformes; Bovichtidae
Exons: 4
Source: RefSeq, a predicted model, not a curated record
CAUUAGCAUGCUAACACGCUAAACCAAGAUGGCGAACAUAGUAAACAUUAUACCUGAAUACGUAAACAUCAGCAUGUAAGCAUUAUCAGUGUGAGCAUGUAAGUGUUCAGCUCACCACAGCUGUGUCGAAGUACAGCCUCGAGACAGAAAGCCUGCGGCCGUUUGCGACCGUUUGCGACUUCGCGCUCGAAUUUAAAUAUUUCCCAAACAAGUACAUUUCAGGAUAUCUCGAAGGCCUUUUAGUGACAAGGGUCAAAAGGGUAUUUGGCCACGCCUCCAUGAAGCUCCACUUCUGUCUCGGACCAAGCGAUGAUGUCUCCUCUGAGGUGGCUGCCGCAGGAGGCUAGGCUGUAGAUGUCACUGGCAGGCAGGACAUGUGACCACAUGUGCAGGAUGAAGACCCCUCCUGGUUUGAUCGGGUGCCAGGGGGAAAGAUUUAUCCCGGACCCCCUCUCCACGCCGUCCUGGUAGGCCUCCCACUGUCCAUCCCUUGUUGACCAAGUCACACACACGUGGUGCCACUUUCCAUCACCCAGAGACAGAGGCAGUGUCAAAGCCUGGGAAUGGGAGAUUGAGAAGAUGCAGCUCCAUGGGGUUGUCCCCCCACUCGAUGAGCACCAGUUCAUUGGCCUGUCCAGGUGCUGAGUAAGAAAAGGGCGUCCCCAGGCUGGGCCCUGCGCCCGCCUUGAUCCAAAGACACAAAGUCAGAGCAAAGAUCUCCUGCAUCAGUGUCCUCUUCACCCGCCCGUACAUGUAGUUGGUUCUCAUGGGGAAGCUGAUCUGGAAGCCAUCAGGACUCAAAGACGUUUUCCUGCUGGAACCUGCUUUUGAAGAGAAGUAACAUUCAUUAAGUAACUGGGGCUUUCCAUCGCAUCAUAUGACCUUCCAAGAAUGAGUUUUCCGAGUCGUCAUAAAAUUGUAUUGUAGCUAGAUGUUUAAAUACAUAACAUUCAUGUUGACUUAACCUUUUUAAAAAGUUCACUCUUGACCUUGGAAACAGCAGAGGACAAAACAAUCAAAGUUCUCAAACGUCCAUUUAGUAGCCGGAGCUUUUGAUUUCAUUUUGUCAACGACUGUUUCCGAGGUAAGGAAUGAACUUUAAAACUCUACUGCUCUCCUGUUUUUAAUUUAAAAAUAGUUAGAAGAUAAUGAAAGAAAGAAACACACGCACUAGUUGCAAAUAUUGAUCAUCCAAAAAGAGGCAAAGAUUCACAUAAAAAGUAGGGAUGUGCCAAUGAGUGGAUCGGAUAUCUGAGAAGAAGAAAAAGUAUAAUCCAAUACGAACCAUUAGCCUAAACUGUCUCUACAAUGGUCUUUGAGGUAUUAGGGUACAUUGAGUGUUGAGUUAUAUCCAGUAUUUUACACAGAAAUUAUAAUUCCUUUUUUAUUCUUAAUACUCAGAUUCAAAGUUUUGCUCUCUAAAUUUAAUUUUGAAUAUUUGAAUGGUGAUC